Molecule: ribosomal RNA, 248 nt
Filed under: Bacillus cereus
Lineage: Bacteria; Bacillati; Bacillota; Bacilli; Caryophanales; Bacillaceae
Description: partial 16S ribosomal RNA
Rfam family: Bacterial small subunit ribosomal RNA
Source: RNAcentral
UCGAGCGAAUGGAUUAAGAGCUUGCUCUUAUGAAGUUAGCGGCGGACGGGUGAGUAACACGUGGGUAACCUGCCCAUAAGACUGGGAUAACUCCGGGAAACCGGGGCUAAUACCGGAUAAUAUUUUGAACUGCAUGGUUCGAAAUUGAAAGGCGGCUUCGGCUGUCACUUAUGGAUGGACCCGCGUCGCAUUAGCUAGUUGGUGAGGUAACGGCUCACCAAGGCAACGAUGCGUAGCCGACCUGAGAG